GCGCCCGUAGCUCAAUUGGAUAGAGCGUUGGCCUCCGAAGCCAAAGGUUGUGGGUUCGACCCCCGCCGGGCGCA
Molecule: transfer RNA, 74 nt
Filed under: Verrucomicrobiota bacterium
Lineage: Bacteria; Pseudomonadati; Verrucomicrobiota
Description: tRNA-Arg
Rfam family: tRNA
About the family: Transfer RNA (tRNA) molecules are approximately 80 nucleotides in length. Their secondary structure includes four short double-helical elements and three loops (D, anti-codon, and T loops).
Source: RNAcentral